AGUGAACGCUGGCGGUAGGCCUAACACAUGCAAGUCGAACGGCAGCACAGUAAGAGCUUGCUCUUACGGGUGGCGAGUGGCGGACGGGUGAGGAAUACAUCGGAAUCUACUUUUUCGUGGGGGAUAACGUAGGGAAACUUACGCUAAUACCGCAUACGACCUACGGGUGAAAGCAGGGGAUCUUCGGACCUUGCGCGAUUGAAUGAGCCGAUGUCGGAUUAGCUAGUUGGCGGGGUAAAGGCCCACCAAGGCGACGAUCCGUAGCUGGUCUGAGAGGAUGAUCAGCCACACUGGAACUGAGACACGGCCCAGACUCCUACGGGAGGCAGCAGUGGGGAAUAUUGGACAAGGGGCGCAAGCCUGAUCCAGCCAUACCGCGUGGGUGAAGAAGGACUUCGGGUUGUAAAGCCCUUUUGUUGGGAAAGAAAAGCAGCAGGUUAAUACCCCGCUGUUCUGACGGUACCCAAAGAAUAAGCACCGGCUAACUUCAUG
RNAcentral lists this ribosomal RNA (492 nucleotides) under uncultured bacterium. Its description in RNAcentral is "partial 16S ribosomal RNA". It matches the Rfam family "Bacterial small subunit ribosomal RNA", at positions 29 to 507 of the family's 1533-position model. The record is from RNAcentral.